CUCGUCUUUGCUCCCACGAAAUCGACCGGCGAACGAAAUCCAAAUAAUUUUCCUGGAUCCCUUCCUCUCGGAACCCUAAUCUUCGCUAGGACGAUCGAUCGAUGGGAGGGCACGGAGGUCUCAACAUAUUGCCGCAGAAGCGGUGGAACGUGUACAACUACGAGAACCGCGAGAAGGUCCGCCGGGACGAGGAGGCCGCUGCCCGCGAGGAGCAGCUCCAGCGCGAGGAGUCCCGCCGCCGAGUUCCGCCUCGAGCGCCUCCGCCGUGCCCGCGGUCUUCACUACCAGCAACCCCCCCGCCUUCGAUGACGACUCUCGCCACUUUAACCUCUUCGACGGACUCUCCGAUUUCUCCUCCCUUGGCGGCACCCAGGACGAAGGGAUCCCCCGUGAUGGCAAGAUAUUUAGGAAGGAGGAGGCUGAAGACGGUGGAUCCAAGAGCUCUAAGAAGCCGCGGAGAGAGGACAAUCCGGCGUCGGUGGCGCCCGAGGACGAGAAGUAUAAGCUGGGAUAUGGACUGGUAGGGAAGGGGGUGAAGGCGCCGUGGUACCUCUCACGACCGUCGGCCAUGUCAGAGGCUGUUGACGAGGAAGUUGGAAGAUUCAUGGUUGCAAGUGGAUCGGGGAAGAAGAAUGCGGGGAAAAAGACAAUAGAGGAACUGAGGGAGGAGAGGAUGAGGCGGGAGAAGAAAGAAAAGGAGAGGGAGCGUGCACUUCUUGAGGAAGAAUGGUGCUGAUCGAUGGUUUUCAAGGAAGAGUUCUAAGUACGAAGGCUGUCCAUGUUAGUGACUUCUAUGAUUUUAUGGUUCUGCUACCGUUCCAGAGAUAUCAUAAGCCUGAUAUCUCUUUUGACGUUGAGAAGAGAAAACACUUCAUGAAGUUGCACAUCCAUUUAGCCAUGUUUCUGCUGCUAAAGUACAGCAGUAGAUCAUUCGAAGCAAACAAUUUGAAGUCGGAGUUGGUUGUCUUGCAGUUGAUGGUGGGCUGUUUUUCAGGUACAGUUCUGUAACGAAGAAAAAAGAAGGAUAUAUGAUCAAUGUUUGAUUUUUUUUUCUUUUAUUUUAUCAUCCAAAAUAUGUUUUCCCCUCAGAUUAUUUGAACAAAGUUCCGACAACAUUUAAUCAUUAUUCUUUUCCCAAAUGCCCUGAUGGAUUUUGGAUGA
Molecule: RNA transcript, 1161 nt
Organism: Musa acuminata AAA Group (dessert banana)
Lineage: Eukaryota; Viridiplantae; Streptophyta; Magnoliopsida; Zingiberales; Musaceae
Exons: 3
Source: RefSeq, a predicted model, not a curated record